This 1372-nucleotide ribosomal RNA is filed under the name Faucicola osloensis. RNAcentral describes it as "bacterial SSU rRNA". It matches the Rfam family "Bacterial small subunit ribosomal RNA", at positions 76 to 1450 of the family's 1533-position model. Lineage: Bacteria; Pseudomonadati; Pseudomonadota; Gammaproteobacteria; Moraxellales; Moraxellaceae. The record is from RNAcentral.
UAGCUUGCUAGAUAUGAUUAGUGGCGGACGGGUGAGUAACAUUUAGGAAUCUGCCUAGUAGUGGGGGAUAGCUCGGGGAAACUCGAAUUAAUACCGCAUACGACCUACGGGUGAAAGGGGGCGCAAGCUCUUGCUAUUAGAUGAGCCUAAAUCAGAUUAGCUAGUUGGUGGGGUAAAGGCCCACCAAGGCGACGAUCUGUAACUGGUCUGAGAGGAUGAUCAGUCACACCGGAACUGAGACACGGUCCGGACUCCUACGGGAGGCAGCAGUGGGGAAUAUUGGACAAUGGGGGCAACCCUGAUCCAGCCAUGCCGCGUGUGUGAAGAAGGCCUUUUGGUUGUAAAGCACUUUAAGCAGGGAGGAGAGGCUAAUGGUUAAUACCCAUUAGAUUAGACGUUACCUGCAGAAUAAGCACCGGCUAACUCUGUGCCAGCAGCCGCGGUAAUACAGAGGGUGCGAGCGUUAAUCGGAAUUACUGGGCGUAAAGCGAGUGUAGGUGGCUCAUUAAGUCACAUGUGAAAUCCCCGGGCUUAACCUGGGAACUGCAUGUGAUACUGGUGGUGCUAGAAUAUGUGAGAGGGAAGUAGAAUUCCAGGUGUAGCGGUGAAAUGCGUAGAGAUCUGGAGGAAUACCGAUGGCGAAGGCAGCUUCCUGGCAUAAUAUUGACACUGAGAUUCGAAAGCGUGGGUAGCAAACAGGAUUAGAUACCCUGGUAGUCCACGCCGUAAACGAUGUCUACUAGCCGUUGGGGUCCUUGAGACUUUAGUGGCGCAGUUAACGCGAUAAGUAGACCGCCUGGGGAGUACGGCCGCAAGGUUAAAACUCAAAUGAAUUGACGGGGGCCCGCACAAGCGGUGGAGCAUGUGGUUUAAUUCGAUGCAACGCGAAGAACCUUACCUGGUCUUGACAUAGUGAGAAUCCUGCAGAGAUGCGGGAGUGCCUUCGGGAAUUCACAUACAGGUGCUGCAUGGCUGUCGUCAGCUCGUGUCGUGAGAUGUUGGGUUAAGUCCCGCAACGAGCGCAACCCUUUUCCUUAUUUGCCAGCGGGUUAAGCCGGGAACUUUAAGGAUACUGCCAGUGACAAACUGGAGGAAGGCGGGGACGACGUCAAGUCAUCAUGGCCCUUACGACCAGGGCUACACACGUGCUACAAUGGUAGGUACAGAGGGUUGCUACACAGCGAUGUGAUGCUAAUCUCAAAAAGCCUAUCGUAGUCCGGAUUGGAGUCUGCAACUCGACUCCAUGAAGUCGGAAUCGCUAGUAAUCGCAGAUCAGAAUGCUGCGGUGAAUACGUUCCCGGGCCUUGUACACACCGCCCGUCACACCAUGGGAGUCUAUUGCACCAGAAGUAGGUAGCCUAACGCAAGAGGG